AGAAUCACGUGCCCUUUCUUUGCAGUGAAGGGGGUUUGUCAGAUAUAGAAUAAGCUCAGCAGGGAGGUUUUUUAAGGUGAUAUUCCAUUAAUUCAUCAGUGGUAGUGCAUUCAGCUAAUGGAGAGGUUUUGCAUAUAUGGGUAAUUCACCAUUGAUACAUUGAGAUAUUGAAACAUUAUGUCUUGGUAGUGUAAAUGAUGUGUACUUGUACUACUCAGACAUGGACUGAGGAAGACUGAGGAAGCUUCACACCUGCUGAAAGCAAACUUGGAGCCUCUCUCGAGGGAGUCGUGCAUCAUGAGGGACCUCUGCAGUGCCGUGUGCUGGAUUCGCAAGAGGUCCUGGAGGGUCAAAGUGACAACAGGAAUGAUCCAUUCAUGUUUAUUUUUAAUAAUAAGGAGGACAUGGAAACCUUGCUCUCCAAUUGCGUUGAUAGGAUGGGUCUUAAAAUUCAUGCCAUGUUUACAUAAGGAAAAAUUUGUAUUCUUUUUAUUCUGUUCCAUAUACUUUUUUUUUUUUGCACGUUUGUUCAAAUUUAUAUAUCAAUACACUACAAGAAAUGUUUGCCAAAUUA
This is a non-coding RNA of Paramormyrops kingsleyae, 574 nucleotides long. Lineage: Eukaryota; Metazoa; Chordata; Actinopteri; Osteoglossiformes; Mormyridae. The record is from RefSeq and is a predicted model, not a curated record.